AACGAACGCUGGCGGCAUGCCUAACACAUGCAAGUCGAGCGAGCAUUUCGGUGCUAUCGGCGUCCGGGUUAGUAAGCCGUGGGAACGUUCCCUUUUCUGCGGAAUAGUUCUGGGACACUGAGGGUAAUACCGCAUACGCCCUAUUGGGGGAUGAUAUAUCGAAGAAGGUUCGGCCCGCGUUGAAUUCGGUAGUUGUUAGGGUAAUGGCACACCACGCCGACGAUGCAUAACUGGUUUGAGAGAAUGAUCAGCCACACUGGGAGUGAGACACGGCCCAGACUCUUACGGGAGGGAGGAGUGGGGAAUCUUAGACAAUGGGGGGAAUGCUGAACGAGCCAGGACGGGUGAGCGAUGAAGGCAGUAAGGUUGUAAAGCGCAUGCAGCUGGGAAGAUAAUGACGGUACCAGCAGAAGAAGCCACGGCUAACUCCGUG
RNAcentral lists this ribosomal RNA (433 nucleotides) under uncultured bacterium. RNAcentral describes it as "partial 16S ribosomal RNA". It matches the Rfam family "Bacterial small subunit ribosomal RNA", at positions 29 to 507 of the family's 1533-position model. The record is from RNAcentral.